GAUGAACGCUGACAGAAUGCUUAACACAUGCAAGUCUACUUGAAUUUGGGUUUUUUAACUUAGAUUUGGGUGGCGGACGGGUGAGUAACGCGUAAAGAACUUGCCUCACAGCUAGGGACAACAUUUGGAAACGAAUGCUAAUACCUGAUAUUACGAUUAUAAGGCAUCUUAGAAUUAUGAAAGCUAUAUGCGCUGUGAGAGAGCUUUGCGUCCCAUUAGCUAGUUGGAGAGGUAACGGCUCACCAAGGCGAUGAUGGGUAGCCGGCCUGAGAGGGUGAACGGCCACAAGGGGACUGAGACACGGCCCUUACUCCUACGGGAGGCAGCAGUGGGGAAUAUUGGACAAUGGACCAAGAGUCUGAUCCAGCAAUUCUGUGUGCACGAUGACGUUUUUCGGAAUGUAAAGUGCUUUCAGUUGGGAAGAAAAAAAUGACGGCACCAACAGAAGAAGUGACGGCUAAAUACGUG
RNAcentral lists this ribosomal RNA (468 nucleotides) under uncultured bacterium. Its description in RNAcentral is "partial 16S ribosomal RNA". It matches the Rfam family "Bacterial small subunit ribosomal RNA", at positions 28 to 507 of the family's 1533-position model. The record is from RNAcentral.